GUUUGUAAUUAUGUUACUAAAAGUAUAAUAAAAUCUUCCCAACAUUCCUCUAACGUCUGCCUUAUGUAACACCUCUGAGUGAGGGAGAAGGCGUCUUUUCACUUCUGUCAGUUCACUCUGUCCUUAGUUAAGUUAAAAAAAAUGUGAAAAAAAAACUUUUGCAAAACUCUGCACAGAAGCUGAUGUUGUAACAGACAUGAAAUAUCUCUAAACUAUCGCUGCUUUGCUUAGGCUAGCUUCCUUCGUGCUAUCUAGGUCUGCUGUUGGCUGCUGCUGUCGCAUGGCAAAGUAAACACAGCACAACAGAACUGAAUGUAUCGGACCGAGGUUCGAUUCAUAUUCCUCGAGGUCCAGCGAACCUCUUUGGGUUCAUAUCAGGGCGUUAUCGAAUCCAAACAUCGAUCUCUAAUCCACAGACAUCUGCAUUUACACACACACACACACACACACACACACACACACACACACACGAUGAAAAUAAAGCUUCUUUGUCGCAGCUGCUAAUAAGCCACUUCUGAUGUAAAGUAAUGGGGCUUGUGUGUCUGACUCCCUCUGUACAUGUUAUCAGCAUGUCUGAAUCCACCAUGCUGCCUUUCUGAGAUGCAUAAACCCUUAAACCAGUGAGAAGAAAUGAGCGAAGCCGCUGAAGCAUGAAGUGCCCGCAGAGCUGACAGCACUGCAGACUCCUCUACAUUUUAAACAGGAAGAUGACAAAGUCCUUACGCAGGCUAAACAUGCUGGAAAAGGUAAAGUUCUCAUACCAGCUGAAAGUCAUUCUAAUAUCUUAUUGAGAGUCCCAUCAAGUGGAGAGUGUUUCUUAAGGCUCUAUCAAACAGCUCUCAACCUUGGGCUAUAUUUGUCUUCUGACCUUUCUGCCCAGCUCCAGGCUAGAUUCUGUGUCCAGUCCCUCUUCACUGAAUGUCAUCAUCCCAACUUCAGAGAGCAGCUCUCAGUGGGACAGAAAAAUCUAGUGGAAAAUGACCUUGAAGUUUUAGGAUAUUCAAAAUAUCUCAAAUUAUGAACAUGACGUGGCCGUCUCUUUUCAGAGACUUCUCUUCUUUCUCUAAGAGCUCUUGUGUGUGAUUUAUGAGAGCCUGUGACAGAGACAAUAUUUUCUUUGCAAUAUAGGCAUGAAAAAUGGGAGACUGAGGUUUGUUGCUGCUUUAGGCUGCACAUAUAUCUGUUUUCACCAGACCAUUUACUGUGAUUUAAAAAAAAACAAAAACAAAGAAAUAACCAAAAAGAGAAAAAUGAAAAUAACUUUGGUAGGGAAAAUUGUGCUGUUGGGCCCACAAAAAUUUUUCUAUGUUGCCAAUUAGUUACAUUUAAAAUACAACUUUACAACAGCCCAUGUUAAAAAUUAGUCAUCUAGGUCCACCAAUACUCCUUUUAUGAGCUCAUACUCACAGCUAAUAAAGAGAUCACAACCACCGUUUUCUGAUGGGAAUGCAGUGAUCCUGGUCAUCAAACCAACCUUACAGUCAUUCCAGGUUUCUGCUUCAGUCUCAUCACCAUCUCUUACCCUGUAAAACUGUCAGUCAGCUUCAUCUGCAAGCGUGGAUAAAGCUCGUCAGUAGUUACGUUUUCCAUCUCAGGGAACAAAACCAAUUAGUGUGACAGUUGGGCGCAGAGCUAUGCCUCAAGUUUCAAAACUCUUUGUUUUGCAGUCAUGUUAAGAAAAAUAUAAUCUCACCCACUGACCCAUGUCAGCUCAGGUCAGACGGAGAGGAAUCUUUACAGGAUGCUACACAGUUGUUGAGAUUAAUUUCUCCCCAGGCUCUACAAAUCAGAACGUGCACCGCCUUGAUUGUGUUUCCAGAAGUGUUGUUUGCUUGUUUAUCUCAGUGCAUGAAGCAUGAAUUUUUUAGGUUUUACUGGCAAUUUUCAAACAGAAAGAGUCCCAGAGAGAGAAUGUAAAAAUCACAGCAGAAUGACCGGCAGAGAGACCAGACACAAAUGACUCUUGUGAAACU
Long non-coding RNA from Astatotilapia calliptera (eastern happy), 1973 nucleotides. Lineage: Eukaryota; Metazoa; Chordata; Actinopteri; Cichliformes; Cichlidae. The record is from Ensembl.